RNAcentral lists this ribosomal RNA (376 nucleotides) under uncultured bacterium. RNAcentral's name for it is "bacterial SSU rRNA". It matches the Rfam family "Bacterial small subunit ribosomal RNA", at positions 524 to 898 of the family's 1533-position model. The record is from RNAcentral.
GACAGAGGGUGCAAACGUUGUUCGGAAUUACUGGGCGUAAAGCGUGUGUAGGCGGCCAUGUAAGUCGGAUGUGAAAGCCCCGGGCUUAACCCGGGAAGUGCAUUCGAUACUGCGUGGCUUGAGUAUCGGAGAGGUUGGUGGAAUUCUCGGUGUAGAGGUGAAAUUCGUAGAUAUCGAGAGGAACACCGGUGGCGAAGGCGGCCAACUGGACGAAUACUGACGCUGAGACACGAAAGCGUGGGGAGCAAACAGGAUUAGAUACCCUGGUAGUCCACGCCGUAAACGAUGGGUGCUAGGUGUCACGGGCUUUGACUCCUGUGGUGCCGUAGCCAACGCAUUAAGCACCCCGCCUGGGAAGUACGGCCGCAAGGCUAAA